This 1217-nucleotide long non-coding RNA is filed under the name Gallus gallus (chicken). RNAcentral's name for it is "lncRNA (ENSGALG00010028230.1)". The record is from RNAcentral. Lineage: Eukaryota; Metazoa; Chordata; Aves; Galliformes; Phasianidae.
CAUCCUUGUGAUGAGGCACGUGUCCAAAACAGCAACUGAUUAGAAGAGACUGAGUGUCCCCCUGCCCAAACCUGGGUAAUCCAGGAGUGUGAUAUCUCCCCAGAUGACCACCAAAGAUGACCAAAGACCCCCAUGCAAGUGCAGAAGAUUCCCGUAUGUUCUGUAACCUCAUACUUCCAUAGCCCUACAAACAGGCAACAGAUGUGUUUCAGGAGGUUUAAAGUUGACAACAGUUUUGGUGACCCAGACGGGACAUUUGGAUUGAACUUCACCCUUCUUCUCACCGCUGCCAGGUUGGUGUCAUAAGCUGGACUCCAGCAUGCAUCAGAUAAUUUUUCCAGGGACUCCCCCUGUGAUUCCCCAGCAGGUGCAGAGGAGCUGUUCAGUAUCCAGUGGAGCGAUAUUGUAAUGUCAUAAGCAGGAACUGGGGGGAUUGGUGCCUUAAAGUCGGCAUUUUGGUAUUUUCCUGCACGCUAUUACAGUGAUGACUGGAGUUCGGGGAGGUUGGUUCAUUUGACUUAAGGGUAUUAUUGUUUUGCUGAUCAGUAAGCUGGGUAAUGUACAGUCCACGGAGGACAAAGUUCCCCAAAUGACUGCGUUGUGGGAUAUUGAGGGAAGUCUCAGGGAGGCCUCGUAGCUUGAAGAAAACUGAUAAUGUAUUGCAAUCUCUGGUGUCCAGUAUGUUUUUGGGAAGAUCAAGAAAAGUGGCUAGUAAAUGGUUCUCUGUAAUGGCAUUAAGCAAUUAAUGUUAUCUUAUAGCAGAGAAGGAAAAUGGGAUGAAGCGCUGUGUGCGGAUUUGUUCCUUGAAUUAAGAAAUGAUGAAAGAUGUCAGAAAUGUGGGUUAGUGUCCACGGACACAAAUGCUUUGGCUUUGGAAAAAUAGAGGGCGAUGUCUACAAUACAGAGAUGCUGUUCAGCAUGUAGUGUAGGUAAAUGAUGUAAGAUGAAGGAGGCAGAGGAGAGAGAAGGGAGAACAUAGAGCUCCUGUUACCCACUGUGGUAGGUCGGGCAGUGAGGAAAAGGGGAGUAAGAAGUCCAAGAGGAACAGCCAGAAGAACAUUUCAACCCAAUGGCUGUAAGGACCAGAAGGGGAAGAGCAGCAGUUCAAGGCAUUUGAAGAGAAGUGGUGGGCCCAGAGGGAACUCCGGUAGAUGAUCAAGAAUGUUUUUCUACUUCAGAUGUAAUGACAUGGAAGGAAAUGUUGGGAACUGAUAGGG